CUUUAAUAAGAACACUCUAUAA
Molecule: small nuclear RNA, 22 nt
Filed under: Arabidopsis thaliana (thale cress)
Lineage: Eukaryota; Viridiplantae; Streptophyta; Magnoliopsida; Brassicales; Brassicaceae
Description: snRNA_06030
Source: RNAcentral